CCUACGGGAGGCUGCAGUGAGGAAUAUUGGUCAAUGGCCGUAAGGCUGAACCAGCCAAGUCGCGUGAAGGAAGAAGGAUCUAUGGUUUGUAAACUUCUUUUAUAGGGGAAUAAAGGUAUCCACGUGUGGAUAUUUGCAUGUACCCUAUGAAUAAGCAUCGGCUAACUCCGUGCCAGCAGCCGCGGUACUACGGAGGAUGCGAGCGUUAUCCGGAUUUAUUGGGUUUAAAGGGUGCGUAGGUUGUUUUUUAAGUCAGCGGUGAAAGUUUGUGGCUCAACCAUAAAAUUGCCGUUGAAACUGGAAGACGUGAGUGUGUUUGAGGUAGGCGGAAUGCGUGGUGUAGCGGUGAAAUGCAUAGAUAUCACGCAGAACUCCGAUUGCGAAGGCAGCUUACUAAGCCAUAACUGACACUGAAGCUCGAAAGCGUGGGGAUCAAACAGGAUUAGAUACCCGAGUAGUC
Molecule: ribosomal RNA, 460 nt
Filed under: uncultured bacterium
Lineage: Bacteria
Description: partial 16S ribosomal RNA
Rfam family: Bacterial small subunit ribosomal RNA
Source: RNAcentral